RNAcentral lists this non-coding RNA (77 nucleotides) under Paratractidigestivibacter faecalis. RNAcentral describes it as "aspS RNA". It matches the Rfam family "aspS RNA". The record is from RNAcentral. Lineage: Bacteria; Bacillati; Actinomycetota; Coriobacteriia; Coriobacteriales; Atopobiaceae.
ACGUUGCGCAGUCUACGCCUCGUCGCCGUCUGCUGGGAAUCCGCCCGCACCGACACGGGGCGGAAGAGACGAGAGGA